This 243-nucleotide long non-coding RNA is filed under the name Elaeis guineensis (African oil palm). RNAcentral describes it as "long non-coding RNA (EGUI_LNC032688)". The record is from RNAcentral. Lineage: Eukaryota; Viridiplantae; Streptophyta; Magnoliopsida; Arecales; Arecaceae.
GACAGAUACUGAUAGAAUUCUGAAGCGGAAUAGGGCCCCUAAAGGUGGAAGGACGGGUUUAAAUAGACCCUGGGAUACGGCGUCAUAAUGAUCGCGAAUCUCCCCAAGCUGGCCCGCGCUUGACACGUGUCCCACUCGCCACGGCAGGCGGCUAAAAGUGGCUGAUGGUUGGCAGGGCCAUUAUUGCGCCGUAUCUUGGCCAGUGUACCAGUGAGAAUUUCGAAGGGUCCCUUCGUAUCGCCC